UAAACGACUCUYGGCAACGGAUAUYUYGGCUCACGCAUCGAUGAARAACGUAGCAAAAUGCGAUACUUGGUGUGAAUUGCARAAUCCCGUGAACCAUCGAGUUUUUGAACGCAAGUUGCGCCCNAAGCCUUYUGGUUGAGGGCACGUCUGCCUGGGCGUCACGC
Molecule: ribosomal RNA, 164 nt
Filed under: Layia glandulosa
Lineage: Eukaryota; Viridiplantae; Streptophyta; Magnoliopsida; Asterales; Asteraceae
Description: 5.8S ribosomal RNA
Rfam family: 5.8S ribosomal RNA
About the family: 5.8S ribosomal RNA (5.8S rRNA) is a component of the large subunit of the eukaryotic ribosome. It is transcribed by RNA polymerase I as part of the 45S precursor that also contains 18S and 28S rRNA.
Source: RNAcentral